UACAGAGGUCUCGAGCGUUGUUCGGAUUCAUUGGGCGUAAAGGGUGCGUAGGCGGCGCGGUGAGUCGGAUGUGAAAUCUCGGAGCUUAACUCCGAAACUGCAUUCGAUACUGCCGUGCUUGAGGACUGGAGAGGAGACUGGAAUUUACGGUGUAGCGGUGAAAUGCGUAGAUAUCGUAAGGAAGACCAGUGGCGAAGGCGGGUCUCUGGACAGAUCCUGACGCUGAGGCACGAAGGCCAGGGGAGCAAACGGG
RNAcentral lists this ribosomal RNA (253 nucleotides) under uncultured bacterium. Its description in RNAcentral is "partial 16S ribosomal RNA". It matches the Rfam family "Bacterial small subunit ribosomal RNA", at positions 524 to 776 of the family's 1533-position model. The record is from RNAcentral.